RNAcentral lists this ribosomal RNA (763 nucleotides) under Hippoglossus stenolepis (Pacific halibut). RNAcentral's name for it is "partial 12S ribosomal RNA". It matches the Rfam family "Bacterial small subunit ribosomal RNA", at positions 7 to 1276 of the family's 1533-position model. The record is from RNAcentral. Lineage: Eukaryota; Metazoa; Chordata; Actinopteri; Pleuronectiformes; Pleuronectidae.
CAAAGGCUUGGUCCUGACUUUACUGUCGACUUUAACUAAACUUACACAUGCAAGUAUCCGCCCCCCUGUGAGAAUGCCCACAACUCCCUGCUUGGGAACUAGGAGCCGGUAUCAGGCACAAGCCCAGCUAGCCCACGACGCCUUGCUUAGCCACACCCUCAAGGGAACUCAGCAGUGAUAAAUAUUAAGCCAUAAGUGAAAACUUGACUUAGUUAAGGUUAAAAAAGGCCGGUAAAACUCCGUGCCACCACCGCGGUUAUACGAAGAGGCCAAGUUGACAAACAACGGCGUAAAGAGUGGUUAGGGGAUUUACUAAACUAGAGCCGAACGCUUUCAAAGCUGUUAUACGCACCCGAAAGUAUGAAACCCAAUUACGAAAGUAGCUCUACUCAUCCUGAACCCACGAAAGCUAAGAAACAAACUGGGAUUAGAUACCCCACUAUGCUUAGCCCUAAACAUCGAUUGCACUAUACACUCCAUAUCCGCCCGGGAAUUAUGAACAUCAGUUUAAAACCCAAAGGACUUGGCGGUGCUUAACAUCCACCUAGAGGAGCCUGUUCUAGAACCGAUAACCCCCGUUAAACCUCACCUUCUCUUGUUUUAUCCGCCUAUAUACCACCGUCGUCAGCUUACCCUGUGAAGGCUUUACAGUAAGCAAAAUUGGCACAGCCCAAAACGUCAGGUCGAGGUGUAGUGAAUGAGGAGGGAAGANAUGGGCUACAUUUGCUAAACAUAGCAAACACGAAUGUUGCAUUGAAACAUG